AACGCAUAUUGCACUUUCUGGUAUUCCGGAAAGUAUGCCUGUUUGAGGGUCAGUUAAAUAAAAAUCGGUGUUGUUGCUGCCUUUCGUGGUGACGCGUCGGAAUUGAGUCGUCUUACCUUCGGUUAAGUGACUUAAAAUUUUGUAUGAUUUUUGAACGUAUUUAAAUUUAUUUGUACGUUUGAGAUAUCGAAUGUUUAUUAGGUUCGGUCAUUCUAAUGACUCGCGCCUAUAGUUUUUCAUUAAAUGACCUCAAAUCAGGUAAGAAUACCCGCUGAACUUAA
RNAcentral lists this unclassified non-coding RNA (281 nucleotides) under uncultured Glomeraceae. Its description in RNAcentral is "sequence contains ITS2". The stretch from base 1 to 52 matches the Rfam family "5.8S ribosomal RNA", at positions 103 to 154 of the family's 154-position model. The record is from RNAcentral. Lineage: Eukaryota; Fungi; Glomeromycota; Glomeromycetes; Glomerales; Glomeraceae.